ACAUUAUUCCUCGAUCCUUCUGCAUAGUAUUCAAUAAAUAUUCAGACAUUUCCAUGAAUAAAUAAAACAAAUCUUCUACACAAUAUUAUCCAUUAUAUUAGAUAAAUUCCUGUAUUAAUGUAUUUUAUUAUUAGUUCUAUACACAUAUUAAAACAAGCAUCACUCACUUUAUACUGAAGCUAGAUUUCAUUAUUACCCUUUUUAUUCCCAUUGAUUGGUUAAUUGAUUCAUAUGGGCUGUCUGCUUCUAACAGCAGGUGUCUUAAUUGGCGUUUCUGAAAGAAUGAUCCAAAGUUAUCAACUUAAACUUAAACUUUUAAGAGGCACAACCGGCGUCGGUUUAAUUUUAACUAGCUAGCUUUGCUAGCUUAACGUUAGCUAAGUUAGCUUAAAAUGAGCUUUUAGGCUUGACGUUAGCUUUACUAGUUUGGCGUAAGCGUAGAGUUAGCUUAACGCGAGCGGAACGUUAGCAUCAGUUUAGCCAGCUAUGUUAGCUUAAAGUUAGCUUAAAGUUAGCUUAGUUAAUAAGUGUAAUGUUAGUUGAACGUAAAUUUGAGGUUAGCUUUGUUAGCUUAACAUUCGCCUUGUUGUAAGUGUUACGUUAGCUUAAAGCAGGGUUAGCAGUAGCUUCGUUAGCUUGACCUGCACCUGAACGUCACGUUGGCUUCAUUUGAGCCUCGUUAGCUCAACUUUAGCUUCGUUAGCUUAACAUUCCGCUCCUUUAGCUUAAAGUUAGUUUCGUUAGCUGCAGUUGUUUAAGUGAGUUGAGCGCACAAGGUUCGUUAGCUCCAUUUUAGCUAUUAACUUCAUUUUUUUUUCUUUAAACUAAGAACCCGGAUAAAUAAAAGUAAAGAGCACGCAUGGCGACACGUCUUCCUCCGAGGUGUGUGAACGAGGAGGACGUCUGGUGACAAAUGAACAUGUCAGAGAUGUGAAGAGUCGCCGUCUGCUGCAGACUGCAGACUGCUGACCGAGCCUACGAGGAGACGUGAUGACAGACUUGAACUCGGCCUGAACUCUUCCUGACAGACACCAGCAUUGGGCUCCAUCCUUGACCCGACACCAUCCACCAUCAUGACGGUGCCUUUGAUGGGACCAGACGCUGCGUUGUGCGAGUGGAUCG
Mugil cephalus (flathead mullet) is the source of this 1122-nucleotide long non-coding RNA. RefSeq lists it as uncharacterized. Lineage: Eukaryota; Metazoa; Chordata; Actinopteri; Mugiliformes; Mugilidae. The transcript is spliced from 3 exons. The record is from RefSeq and is a predicted model, not a curated record.